CCUACGGGUGGCAGCAGUGAGGAAUAUUGGUCAAUGGACGCAAGUCUGAACCAGCCAUGCCGCGUGCAGGAUGACGGCUCUAUGAGUUGUAAACUGCUUUUGUACGAGGGUAAACCCCGAUACGUGUAUCGGGUUGAAAGUAUCGUACGAAUAAGGCACGGCUAACUCCGUGCCAGCAGCCGCGGGAAGACGGAGGAUCCGAGCUGUAUCCGGAUUUAUUGGGGUUAAAGGGUGUGUAGGCGGUUGGAUAAGUUAGUGGUGAAAUGGUGGGGCUCAACCCCGAAACUGCCGCUAAGACUGUUGGACUAGAGAAUAGUUGCGGUAGGCGGAAUGUAUGGUGUAGCGGUGAAAUGCUUAGAGAUCAUACAGAACACCGAUUGCGAAGGCAGCUUACCAAACUAUAUCUGACGUUGAGGCACGAAAGCGUGGGUAGCAAACAGGAUUAGAUACCCCUGUAGUC
This 460-nucleotide ribosomal RNA is filed under the name uncultured bacterium. RNAcentral describes it as "partial 16S ribosomal RNA". It matches the Rfam family "Bacterial small subunit ribosomal RNA", at positions 338 to 795 of the family's 1533-position model. The record is from RNAcentral.